This 253-nucleotide ribosomal RNA is filed under the name Acidobacterium sp. RNAcentral describes it as "partial 16S ribosomal RNA". It matches the Rfam family "Bacterial small subunit ribosomal RNA", at positions 524 to 776 of the family's 1533-position model. Lineage: Bacteria; Pseudomonadati; Acidobacteriota; Terriglobia; Terriglobales; Acidobacteriaceae. RNAcentral also lists the same sequence under 1 other name. The record is from RNAcentral.
UACGGAGGGGGCGAGCGUUAUUCGGAAUUAUUGGGCGUAAAGGGCGCGUAGGCGGCUUGACAAGUCAAAGGUGAAAUCCCUCGGCUCAACUGAGGAACUGCCUUUGAAACUGUCUGGCUUGAGGCCGGGAGGGGGUAGCGGAAUUCCCAGUGUAGCGGUGAAAUGCGUAGAUAUUGGGAGGAACACCAGUGGCGAAGGCGGCUACCUGGACCGGUUCUGACGCUGAUGCGCGAAAGCGUGGGGAGCAAACAGG